This 615-nucleotide long non-coding RNA is filed under the name Serinus canaria (Common canary). RNAcentral describes it as "lncRNA (ENSSCAG00000007092.1)". The record is from RNAcentral. Lineage: Eukaryota; Metazoa; Chordata; Aves; Passeriformes; Fringillidae.
GCUGGGGCUCAUCCUUGUUCCCAUUUCAUCCCUGUUCCAUUUCAGGGUUUCUUGGGAGACCCUGGACCAGCUGGGGACAAAGGAGAGAAGGGAGUGAAGGUGAGGGUGGCUGUCCCUGCCCCUCAGAGCCCUGCCAGGGUGGGCAGGGGUCUCCCCUUCCCAGCCCCAGGUCCUGCUCUCCUCCAUCACUCAGGCUGCUCUUGGCUUUUCCAGGGGCUGAAGGGAGAGAAUGGGCUGCCAGGUCCUGCAGGGCUCCAGGGGCUGGUGGGGCUGAAGGGUGCCAUGGGCUUCCAGGGCCCUGCAGGGCCGGAGGGAGAAGGUGGCUCAGUGGGUGCCCCGGGCCCUGCUGGUCCCAUGGGCGAGCCCGGCCAGCCGGGACCUGUGGGGUACCAAGGCAUCAACGGCUCUCAGGUGGGUGUGCCCGCUGCCCACCCUCUGUUCUUUGGGAUUUUGGGGUCACUGCUCUCACCCCAGCCUUGCUCUGCCCUGCUCUGCUCUCUCUGCAGGGGGAAUUGGGCCCUCCUGGGAUGGCCGGGCCCCGCGGCCCCAAGGUAGGGGAUCCCUGGGAUGGGGUGUCCUGGGCUGGGGUGUCCUGGGGUGGGGUGGGUGUCCUGA